GGAUCAAAUUGUUGGUCGUGCCUCGGUACGCACUGGGAUUAUUGGUUCCUACCUUCUGAAGAACCGCGAUGUCAUUAAUUUGGUGUCGUGGGGAAUCAGGACUGUUACUUUGAAAAAAUUAGAGUGUUUAAAGCAGGCUCACGCUUGAAUACAUUAGCAUGGAAUAACGGAAUAGGACAUUUGAUUCUAUUUUGUUGGUUUCUAGGAUCGACGUA
This 215-nucleotide ribosomal RNA is filed under the name Campeiostachys nutans. Its description in RNAcentral is "Elymus nutans partial small subunit ribosomal RNA". The stretch from base 38 to 215 matches the Rfam family "Eukaryotic small subunit ribosomal RNA", at positions 685 to 864 of the family's 1831-position model. Lineage: Eukaryota; Viridiplantae; Streptophyta; Magnoliopsida; Poales; Poaceae. The record is from RNAcentral.